This 1073-nucleotide ribosomal RNA is filed under the name Candidatus Moeniiplasma glomeromycotorum. Its description in RNAcentral is "bacterial SSU rRNA". It matches the Rfam family "Bacterial small subunit ribosomal RNA", at positions 114 to 1194 of the family's 1533-position model. The record is from RNAcentral. Lineage: Bacteria; Bacillati; Mycoplasmatota; Mollicutes; Mycoplasmatales; Mycoplasmataceae.
UACUUAUCUUACUUACCAAUUAGUGGGGGAUAACCAUGGGAAACCAUGGCUAAUACCGUAUUUGUUACUUCGGUAAUGAAAGGGGGUCGCAAGAUUCUCGCUAAUUGAUAGGGAUAAGUCGUAUUAGUUAGUUGGUGGGGUAAUGGCCUACCAAGACAGUGAUGCGUAGCCAGUCUGAGAGGAUGAAUGGCCACAAGGGAACUGAGACACGGUCCCUACUCCUACGGGAGGCAGCAGUGAGGAAUUUUCGGCAAUGGGGGCAACCCUGACCGAGCAAUACUACGUGAAGGAGGAAGGUCUACGGAUUGUAAACUUCUGUUAGCAGGGAAGAAGGGCUGAAUGUGAGUUCAGUUUUGACGGUACCUGCAGAGAAAGCCACGACUAACUACGUGCCAGCAGUCGCGGUAAGACGUAGGUGGCGAACGUUAUCCGGAAUUAUUGGGCGUAAAGGGUGCGUAGAUGGCCUGACAAGUUAGCAGUGGGAAAUCGAGGCUCAACCUCGUGGAAGCUGGUAAUACUGUCUGGCUCGAGUGCAGGAGAGGUUAACGGAACUCCAUGUGGAGCGGUAAAAUGCGUAGAUAUAUGGAAGAACACCAAUAACGGCGAAGGCAGUUAACUAUUCUGCUACUGACAUUGAGGCACGAAAGCGUGGGGAGCAAAAAGGAUUAGAUACCCUUGUAGUCCACGCCCUAAACGAUGAGUGCUAGGUAUUGGGAACUUGAUUCUCAGUGCCGCUAGUUAACACGGUAAGCACUCCGCCUGGGUAGUACGGUCGCAAGGCUGAAACUCAAAGGAAUUGACGGGGACUCGCACAAGCAGUGGAGCAUGUGGUUUAAUCCGAUACGACGCGUAGAACCUUACCAAGGCUUGACAUGUCCGGCAAAGUUGCUGAAAGGCAAGGGAGGUUAUCCGGACACAGGUGCUGCAUGGCCGUCGUCAGUUCGUGCCGUGAGGUGUAUGGUUAAGUCCUAUAACGAACGUAACCCUUAGGCUUAGUUACCAGCAUUCAGUUGGGGACUCUAAGCCGACUGCCCGAGUAAUCGGGAGGAAGGAAAGGAUGACGUCUGAUCAUC